This is a non-coding RNA of Ciona intestinalis (vase tunicate), 326 nucleotides long. NCBI's taxonomy places the organism in Eukaryota, Metazoa, Chordata, Ascidiacea, Phlebobranchia, Cionidae. The record is from RefSeq and is a predicted model, not a curated record.
CAAACUUUCAUGCGAUGCUAACAUGGCCUGGAACAAUUAUUAUGGGUUGGUUUGGUGUAAUAUAAGCAUGUGGAACAUAUUUUACAGAAGCCUCCAUUUCCUCCACAAACUUCUUUAUGAUGGUGAAUAACGCUCCAAAUGAAUCGGAACAUGUUUGAAUCUUUACCUUGUUGUUGAAGAUGGAUAAAUCUAUCAGGGGGUGUUUCAUCUUCUCUGGGAGGUGAGGAACAAUGAAGCAUUAUCGAUGAGUAUAUGAAGUAAUGAUGAAGGAGAUCCCGCCACCAUGUUCGAUGAUAGAGAGAAGGAAUGAAGAGUGGCGAGCGCAC